GCAAGUCGAACGGGCCAGUGCUUCGCACUAGUCUCGUUUCUGGGGUUGUUACCUUAGAGCUGCCUACUGAAGUUGUUGCUUUAAAGUCAGGGGUUUUAGGGGACUUUCCCCCAAAGGGGCCAGUGCGGAGCACUGGCUAGUGGCGAACGGGUGAGUAACACGUGGGUAAUCUGCCCUCGAGUGGGGAAUAAGCUUCCGAAAAGGGGGUCUAAUGCCGCAUAACGUUUCAUAACGAUGGUUAUGAAACCAAAGCCCAAAAGGCGCUCGAGGAGGAGCCUGCGUCCUAUCAGCUUGUUGGCAGGGUAAUGGCCUACCAAGGCUAUGACGGGUAGCCGGCCCUGAGAGGGUGUCCGGCCACACUGGAACUGAGACACGGUCCAGACUCCUACGGGAGGCAGCAGUGGGGAAUUUUGCGCAAUGGGGGAAACCCUGACGCAGCGACGCCGCGUGGAGGAUGACGGCCUUCGGGUUGUAAACUCCUGUCAGAAGGGACGAAAUCCCGCAAGGGACUGACGGUACCUUCAGAGGAAGCCCCGGCUAACUACGUG
Molecule: ribosomal RNA, 548 nt
Filed under: uncultured bacterium
Lineage: Bacteria
Description: bacterial SSU rRNA
Rfam family: Bacterial small subunit ribosomal RNA
Source: RNAcentral